AGACCGACGGGGUCGACGCCCCGGGUCACCAGCAGAUAGUCGCGCAGCGCCUGCCCGUGCCUGCCCUC
This 68-nucleotide small RNA is filed under the name Streptomyces sp. CdTB01. Its description in RNAcentral is "ASdes TB sRNA". It matches the Rfam family "ASdes TB sRNA". Lineage: Bacteria; Bacillati; Actinomycetota; Actinomycetes; Kitasatosporales; Streptomycetaceae. The record is from Rfam by way of RNAcentral.